GCUGCUGUGAUGUGAGCUGAGCAUCUGCAAGCAUGGCCCAGCUUGCCUUGUGCGGAUACCCCACAGAAGC
Molecule: microRNA precursor, 70 nt
Organism: Gallus gallus (chicken)
Lineage: Eukaryota; Metazoa; Chordata; Aves; Galliformes; Phasianidae
Source: Ensembl